This 253-nucleotide ribosomal RNA is filed under the name uncultured bacterium. Its description in RNAcentral is "partial 16S ribosomal RNA". It matches the Rfam family "Bacterial small subunit ribosomal RNA", at positions 524 to 776 of the family's 1533-position model. The record is from RNAcentral.
UACGUAGGGACCGAGCGUUGUCCGGAAUCAUUGGGCGUAAAGAGCGUGUAGGCGGCCUUUUAAGUCCUGCGUGAAAUCCUGCGGCUCAACCGCAGACGGUCGUGGGAAACUGGAAGGCUAGAGUACGGGAGAGGAGAGUGGAAUUCCCGGUGUAGCGGUGAAAUGCGCAGAUAUCGGGAAGAACACCCGUGGCGAAGGCGGCUCUCUGGACCGCAACUGACGCUGAGACGCGAAAGCGUGGGGAGCAAACAGG